AGAGUUUGAUCAUGGCUCAGAUUGAACGCUGGCGGAAUGCUUUACACAUGCAAGUCGAACGGCAGCACGGGGCAACCUGGUGGCGAGUGGCGAACGGGUGAGUAAUACAUCGGAACGUGCCCAAUCGUGGGGGAUAACGUAGCGAAAGUUACGCUAAUACCGCAUACGAUCUACGGAUGAAAGCGGGGGAUCGCAAGACCUCGCGCGAAUGGAGCGGCCGAUGUCAGAUUAGGUAGUUGGUGGGGUAAAGGCUCACCAAGCCAACGAUCUGUAGCUGGUCUGAGAGGACGACCAGCCACACUGGAACUGAGACACGGUCCAGACUCCUACGGGAGGCAGCAGUGGGGAAUUUUGGACAAUGGGCGCAAGCCUGAUCCAGCCAUGCCGCGUGAGUGAAGAAGGCCUUCGGGUUGUAAAGCUCUUUCGGCCGGGAAGAAAUCGCAUGGGUUAAUACCCUGUGUGGAUGACGGUACCGGAAUAAGAAGCACCGGCUAACUACGUG
This 502-nucleotide ribosomal RNA is filed under the name uncultured bacterium. RNAcentral describes it as "bacterial SSU rRNA". It matches the Rfam family "Bacterial small subunit ribosomal RNA", at positions 8 to 507 of the family's 1533-position model. The record is from RNAcentral.